CUUGCUUCAAGAGUUCUAGCCCCUAGAACUCGACUAGCCAUCAGUCUAUCAGACCUUCAUUCAGAUCUAAGUCUGAACCUCUUAGAACCACCCACUAGACCUAACCACCUACUUCUAGAUCUUUUAAACCCUUAGAGCUAUUAGGAAUAAGCUUGUCUUAAAAGAACAAGCCUUUGUCCUAAACCCUAGAGUUGUAAGAGAGG
This 203-nucleotide long non-coding RNA is filed under the name Elaeis guineensis (African oil palm). RNAcentral's name for it is "long non-coding RNA (EGUI_LNC070234)". The record is from RNAcentral. Lineage: Eukaryota; Viridiplantae; Streptophyta; Magnoliopsida; Arecales; Arecaceae.